Molecule: ribosomal RNA, 434 nt
Filed under: Macellicephala patersoni
Lineage: Eukaryota; Metazoa; Annelida; Polychaeta; Phyllodocida; Polynoidae
Description: partial 16S ribosomal RNA
Rfam family: Bacterial large subunit ribosomal RNA
Source: RNAcentral
UACCGUACUAAGGUAGCAUAAUCAUUUGCCUUCUAAUUAAAGGAUAGUAUGAAAGGAAAAACGAAAUUUAAUCUAUAUUAUUAAUAUUUAUAUAAAUUAUACUUCAGGUGAAGAUACCUGUAUUUAUUUGAAAGACAAGAAGACCCUAUAGAAUUUUAGAAAUAAAUAACUCCUUUAAUAUUACUUUUCUUUUGUUGGGGCGACUAAAGAUUAAUAAAAACAUCUUUCUUUCUCUCAAAUUCUCCUUUCUUAUUAUGAUCCUAAUUCUAGAUUAACAAAAUAAAUUACCUUAGGGAUAACAGGCUAAUCUUCUUAAAGAGUUCAAAUCGACAAGAAAGUUUGGCACCUCGAUGUUGGCUUAGAGAACCGAUUUGCUGCAACAAGUAAAUAAGGUAGUUUGUUCAACUAUUAAUUCUCUACGUGAUCUGAGUUCA